Molecule: non-coding RNA, 101 nt
Organism: Pelobates cultripes (western spadefoot toad)
Lineage: Eukaryota; Metazoa; Chordata; Amphibia; Anura; Pelobatidae
Source: the annotation of a GenBank genome assembly
CUUCUUCAGCUCCCUCGUGCAACGUACUGAUGCCGGAGCCGGAAGAUGACAUCAUCUUCCGGCUCCGGCAUCAGUACGGUGCGAGAGGGAGCUGAAGAGGA